ACAUGCAAGUCGAACGAGAAAGCGGGCUUCGGCCCGUGAGUAAAGUGGCAGACGGGUGAGUAACACGUGGGUAACCUGCCCGGAGGUGGGGGAUAACUCUUCGAAAGAGGAGCUAAUACCGCAUAACACCUCGAGAGCUUCGGCUUUUGAGAUCAAAGCUUGCCUCUACUCGUAAGCAAGCGCCACCGGAGGGGCCCGCGCCCCAUUAGCUUGUUGGUGAGGUAACGGCUCACCAAGGCUACGAUGGGUAGCCGGCCUGAGAGGGUGAUCGGCCACACUGGAACUGAGACACGGUCCAGACUCCUACGGGAGGCAGCAGUGAGGAAUUUUGCGCAAUGGGCGAAAGCCUGACGCAGCGACGCCCGCGUGGAGGACCGAAGGCCUUCGGGUCGUAAACUCCUGUCAAGCGGGACGAAUCCCUGGCGAAUGAAUAAGUCGCCAGGUUGACGGUACCGCUGGAGGAAGCCCCGGCUAACUCCGUGCCAGCAGCCGCGGUAAUACGGAGCGGGCCAGCGUUGUUCGGAAUUAUUGGGCGUAAAGGGCGCGUAGGCGGCUAGGCCAGUCACGGGUGAAAUCCCUCGGCUCAACCGAGGAACUGCCUCUGAUACUGCCUGGCUUGAGUCCCGGAGAGGGUAGCGGAAUUCCCAGUGUAGCGGUGAAAUGCGUAGAUACUGGGAGGAACACCAGU
This 688-nucleotide ribosomal RNA is filed under the name uncultured Acidobacteriota bacterium. RNAcentral's name for it is "bacterial SSU rRNA". It matches the Rfam family "Bacterial small subunit ribosomal RNA", at positions 53 to 713 of the family's 1533-position model. The record is from RNAcentral. Lineage: Bacteria; Pseudomonadati; Acidobacteriota.